RNAcentral lists this ribosomal RNA (446 nucleotides) under uncultured bacterium. Its description in RNAcentral is "bacterial SSU rRNA". It matches the Rfam family "Bacterial small subunit ribosomal RNA", at positions 330 to 793 of the family's 1533-position model. The record is from RNAcentral.
UCCAGACUCCUACGGGAGGCAGCAGUGGGGAAUAUUGCACAAUGGGGGAAACCCUGAUGCAGCGACGCCGCGUGAGUGAAGAAGUAUUUCGGUAUGUAAAGCUCUAUCAGCAGGGAAGAAAAUGACGGUACCUGAUUAAGAAGCCCCGGCUAACUACGUGCCAGCAGCCGCGGUAAUACGUAGGGGGCAAGCGUUAUCCGGAUUUACUGGGUGUAAAGGGAGCGUAGACGGCAGCACAAGUCUGGAGUGAAAUGUCGGGGCUUAACCCCGGAACUGCUUUGGAAACUGUGCAGCUAGAGUGCAGGAGAGGUAAGUGGAAUUCCUAGUGUAGCGGUGAAAUGCGUAGAUAUUAGGAGGAACACCAGUGGCGAAGGCGGCUUACUGGACUGUAACUGACGUUGAGGCUCGAACGCGUGGGGAGCAAACAGGAUUAGAUACCCUGGUAC